RNAcentral lists this ribosomal RNA (492 nucleotides) under uncultured bacterium. RNAcentral's name for it is "partial 16S ribosomal RNA". It matches the Rfam family "Bacterial small subunit ribosomal RNA", at positions 29 to 507 of the family's 1533-position model. The record is from RNAcentral.
AUUGAACGCUGGCGGCAUGCUUUACACAUGCAAGUCGAACGGUAACAGGCCUUCGGGUGCUGACGAGUGGCGAACGGGUGAGUAAUGCAUCGGAACGUACCCAGAGGCGGGGGAUAACGCAGCGAAAGCUGUGCUAAUACCGCAUGUGAUCUGAGGAUGAAAGCGGGGGACCGAGCAGCAAUGUUUGGCCUCGCGCCUUUGGAGCGGCCGAUGUCGGAUUAGCUAGUUGGUGGGGUAAAGGCCUACCAAGGCGACGAUCCGUAGCUGGUCUGAGAGGACGACCAGCCACACUGGGACUGAGACACGGCCCAGACUCCUACGGGAGGCAGCAGUGGGGAAUUUUGGACAAUGGGCGCAAGCCUGAUCCAGCAAUGCCGCGUGCGGGAAGAAGGCCUUCGGGUUGUAAACCGCUGUUGGCAGGAACGAAACGGUGUCCGCUAAUACCGGGCGCUAAUGACGGUACCUGCAGAGUAAGCACCGGCUAACUACGUG